Molecule: ribosomal RNA, 464 nt
Filed under: uncultured bacterium
Lineage: Bacteria
Description: partial 16S ribosomal RNA
Rfam family: Bacterial small subunit ribosomal RNA
Source: RNAcentral
CUACGGGAGGCACCAGUCGAGAAUCUUUCCCAAUGGGCGAAAGCCUGAGGAUGCGACGCCGCGUGAGGGAUGAAGGUCUUCGGAUUGUAAACCUCUUUUAUUGAGGAGGAAAAGCAAAAAGUAAAUAAUUUUUUGCCUUGACUGUACUCAAGGAAUAAGCCACGGCUAACUCCGUGCCAGCAGCCGCGGUAAUACGGAGGUGGCAAGCGUUACUCGGUUUGACUGGGUGUGAAGGGUCCGCAGGCGGUCUUGCAAGUGAAAGGUGAAAUCUCUUGGCUUAACCAAGAAACGGCCUUUCAAACUGUUAGACUUGAGGAUGCGAGAGGAGAGCGGAACUGUCGGUGUAAAGGUGAAAUUUGUGGAUAUCGACAGGAACGCCUGUGGGGAAGUCGGCUCUCUGGACCAUAUCUGACGCUCAUGGACGAAAGCUAGGGGAGCAAACAGGAUUAGAUACCCGCGUAGUC